This 5324-nucleotide long non-coding RNA is filed under the name Sus scrofa (pig). RNAcentral's name for it is "lncRNA (ENSSSCG00055011383.1)". Lineage: Eukaryota; Metazoa; Chordata; Mammalia; Artiodactyla; Suidae. The record is from RNAcentral.
AUGUGUGCCUUUUGGGAUUUGAGAAUAUGUGUUUGUAUACUUCUAUUAUUUCAGUAGUAAAUUUGAGAAAAUGAAUAUAAAAUUCUGAUGAGAAAUUUAGAAUGUCCUUUUUGUAUAGUUAUUAUAAUUGCCAUGACUUUGGCCAGGUGUAGCUAAACGAUAUUUCAGGCAAAGAACUAAUAGCAAAGCUUUUUACACAGUAAUUUCCUGGGUAAGGUUCAACAAAAUGAAAACUCAUCAGAAGCCCUGCUGGGAUUCCAUCAGCAAGCAUUUAUUUGUAGUUGCAUGUACACCUGCUUACAUAGUAAUAAUACAUUAGUGAGUUAAGUCACUAUGCCAAUGCAAAUUAGCUUUAUUGUGAAUCUAACAUUGGAAUCUAGCAGAUAUGCUAACCAGACAAUCGAAUCGCUACUAGGUUAUGAGUUGGAAAAAAAAUUCUAUAGAAUUUGCCCAUUUGUUUCUUUUGAUUAUAGAUAUCUUUUUAUGAAAAACUUUUCCUUCUCUAGCUUCUACCAUUUAGAUGAGGAAUUUAUAGUAUAUGCCUUGCUCCAUUAGUGCAGCAAUAUUGAGCAAUAUAAGCAUGCCAUCUGCAAUACGAUGUUUUAACCCAAGAGAUCCCGUGUUGCUAAAUUCAAACUUAAAAUCAACUCAGCAAAUAUUUAAAGGAACAACUCUGUCAGGCAUUAUGCUAGGUGCUAGAGAUAGGGGCAGAACCUUAAAGGUGAGCAGCAAUACCUCCUGAUUCAAGAGAAUUCUGAAACAGUAGUGGAGAUAAGAUAAACACUCGUAAUACUCUAUGGCCAAGCACAAAAUUUGAAAACCACAAAAAAGCCAUAAGUUGAUAGAGAAGAGGAGUAAUGAACCCAAAGUCACUGUAAUCAGGAAAGGAGAUGUCUUGUCAGAUAGACAAGAUGUCUUGUCUAAUAGGAUUUAAAUACGUUAGUGAAGAUGGAAGAAGAUCAGUCCUUUAAUACGGUGGUUCCCACAUGGAGUAAAGGGAAAAACCUGGGCAAGAGGAAAGCAUGUUUGAGUAAACAACCAGGAGUUACGUUUAACUGAAGUGUUUUAUGCUGGAUCUACAUGGAGGCAGGGCAAGAUAAGCCUAGAAAGGGAAAAUCAUAUAAAAAAGAAGCAGACUCACAGAUAAAGAAAAUAAACUAGUGGUUACCAGUGAGGGGAGGAGAGGGAAGAAGAGCAAUACAGGGGUAGGGAAAAGGGGGCAAUCAUGGGAUUAUAGGAAAUCAUAUUUGUGAAACUUCUGAAAAUUAUAAAGCACUAUAGAAUUUAAAGAAUCUUUCAUACAAUUAAACAAAUCAAUUUAAAAAAAGAGCUUAUGUCAUGCAAGGCACUCACAGGUUGAGAAAUUAUGAAUUCAUUCUGUAGACAACAGUUUUUUAUUGAGAUUUUUUUCUGUUUUUUUUUUUUUUUUGAGUAAAGGGGUUAUGUGUUCAGAAUUUUUAGACUGUUAACUCAAAAUUUUGUAAGGACCCCUUUCUAGCCCAGAUAUACAUCAUUUCUUGCUGUAAAUAUUCUAGCUGUGUUUACUCAAAGAAACAUGAAAGAGAUUUAUACCAGCAUCAUCUGAAUUUGCUUAUUACAUGAAAUUAACCUUACCACUUAUUUUCUCACUCCUCUCUUUGGUGAUGUAUUGGUUUCCUAAGGCUGCUGUAUGAAGAACUACAAACUAGGUGGCUUUAAACAAUGGAAAUUUAUUCUCUCACAAUGUGGAGUCCAGAAGUCCAAAAUCAAGGUGUUGACAGGAUUGGUUCCUUGUGAAGGGCCUGAGAGAGAAUUUGUUCUGUGCCUCUCUUCUAGCGUCUGGUGACAACCAGCAAUCCUGGGCAUUCCUGAGCUUGUACUGCAUCAUUCCAAUCUCUGCCUCCAUCUUCACAUGGCAUUUUCCCCAGAUCUCUUUGUCCUAUGUCCAAAUGUUCCUCCUCUUCUUCUUUUUCUUUUUNUUUUUUUUUUUUUUUUUUUUUUUUUUUUUUUGUCUUUUUAGGGCCUCACUUGUGGCAUAUGGAAGUUCCCAGGCUAGGGGCUAAAUCAGAGAUACAACUGCCGGCCUAUGCCACAGCCACAGCAAAAUGCAAUUCUGCCGUGUCUGUGACCUACACCACAGCUCAUGGCAACUCUGGGUCCUUAACCCACUGAGGGAGGCCAGGGGUUGAACCAGCAUCCUCACAGAUACUAGUUGGGUUCUUUACUACUGAGCCACAAUGGGAACGCCCCAAAUUUUCCUCUUCUUAUAAGGAUAUCAAUUACAUUGGAUUAAGGCCCAUUCCAAAGACAGCAUCCAAACUUGAUUAAACCUGCAAAGACCGUAUUUUCAAAUAAAGUGACAUUCACAUGUGCUGAGGAUUAGUAUUUCAGAAUAUCUUUUUUUGGGAGGAGGCAAAAUUCAACCUAUUAUAGGUGGUUAAGCCAUAGAUAGAUAGAUAGAUAAUAGAUGAUAGGUAGGUAGAUAGAUAGAUAUGUAGUAAAGAAUUAAUAUUCUUAUCAACAAGCCUCAGUUUUUAUCUAUACAACAGAUAUAAUAAAACUGCCCUCAUAUGAUUGCUGUGAGGAUGAAAUAUGUGAACGAAUCUAGCAUGAGGCAGAAUUAGCUAUAUGGUUGAUGCUUGUAUUAAUAACUCAGGUAACUAUUUUCAGGUAGUAGUUACCUAACUCAGGUAACUAUUUUCAGAAGUAGUUUCAGGAAAGGAUUUUCAUUGUGUUCUAUAUAUCUAUAUGAUUCUAAAUACCACGUCAUCAAUUUAAAACAAAGCUUUAAGUCUCAUGGAUAUGGCCAAAAGAAGUACAUGAUUCAGAAAAGGCAUUAGGUUGCACUAGAACUUUCUUUAGCCUUGGAGUAUUCUACUAGAGAACAAAUAUAUAGAAUACUUGCAAAGUUAAUGUCUGGGGAUUCUGUUUUCCCCCUCUGUAAUAGUCCUAACUGUAUUUACACCAUAAGGCAGCAUUAGAUUUUUGGCUAAUUGCUGAAUUAGAUAAAUCUGGUGGCUUACGGCUUUCUUCUAUUUUCUUCUCUCACUAUUGGAUGUUUGGCUUUUAACGUUCUGGACAAUCACCUGUACUUCCCACUUUUCUUUGCCAAUUGGCACCAGCACAUUCAAAGUUAAAUUUAAUGCAAAGACAUCAUCUGGCACAUUUCUCUAAUCUCAAAAAGGUAAAUUCCCAAACCUCAGUUGAAGUAUUUCUAUUUUAGCCUGAAUUUUCAAGAUAAUUGCCUCCUCAUGUCUCCACUUAAUUUGGCUUGUGCAGAUACAAUCACAUGAACAAAUACAUGUUAAUGGAAAGCCUUCUUAGCUGUCAGUGAGUUGGACAUCCAUUGGGGAUGGUAUAUGGGAGCUCUGGAAUUUAUAAUCCUUUCCACUCUGCCAUUAAUUAAAAGUGCCCCAGAGACAGAUUGGGAGUGACCCAGGGUGAAGGGGUUGAAGGUUAAGCCUUUUAGCUUUGAGCCUCCAGUUUGAAUCUGAUCUAAGCUGGUAAUAAAUAAGAGCUACUGCUAUUUGAUAUCAGUUUGGUGAAUCAUGUGAAAUGAAUUAGUAAUCUCAGGCUUGUUCUGGUGGACAGGUGUCCUCAUACAGUGGGAGCUGAUAGCCUUUGCUGAAGAACCCAACAACCUGAAAAAGAUGGAAAUAAAAUGGCUUCACAAAUAUUCUCUUACCUUGCUAAGAUUGCUGUUCAGUAACAUGGAAAAGUAAGAAACCUUAGGAUUCCAUAUGCCCAGCUUGUAAAUGGCUAUGGGAAUAAAAGGGAUCAGGAUGGGCUUAAUAAGACCCAGAGAGUGGGUCAAAUGGGAAUCAGGUGGUGGGUCUAAGAGAAAUUUAAUAUCCUUGGCUUCUCAUUUUUUCCCCCUUUCUGUUUGGUUGUCAUGGGAAUCUGUAUUUGUGGAAGAAAUACUGACUGCAUUUGCCCAGGGCAGAUGUAUGUACCCUCUAGCCUUCAAAUUUAGCAUUACUAGGACAGAAGGAUUUGUGGCUGGAUAGAAUGAAGGAGAGUCAUACCGGUAAUUCUGGCAGGCAAAAUAAAACAUUGCAAGCAUUAAAAAAAAUUUUUUUUUCCAAAAGAUAUCAUGUACUGAAUUGAAAUAAGAUCAAAACUUGUUUUACUAAACUGAGGAAGGCUAUUUAGAGCUUAGUUUAACUCAAAUUUUGUUAUUAGGAUUAAUCCAGUAGUACUUUCACCCAUGUUUUAAAUGUAUAUUGAGGAAGAACUGCAUUUUUUUUUUUAAUAAUAGAAAAAAAAAAUGGGGAAGCCCUGAGGAAUUAAGUGGAGGAAAAAGACAUCCAACCUUCAAUGUACUUAACUUUAUUUUUCUUUUUGUGAAAGAAAAUAUGAAUCAUUAAUAUCAACUACAUCUUGCUGGUUUUAGUAAGCUUCAACAGGCAAAAUGUACUAGUUCUUUCUGAAUCAGGUUUGUGAAGUUAUUUGUGCAUGUGUGUAUGUGGGUAUGUGAAGUACCAGCUUUGUGCAUAUACAAUAGUGCUAAAGAAAUCAUAAUGUUUUCCUUAGCACUUUUUAUCUGACAGAGUCUUUGAAAAUAAAUUCAUCAGAUUGUGGUGAGUAAUACCUUUGGCUAAGGUCUAAACACUACAAACAUGAUGAACCUAUGAAUAUGUUUUCUUGAUUUUCUUCUUUAAAAUGUCUUAACUUGCUAUUGUUCCUCUUUGUAACUCAUCCCAAACCAAGUAAUUCCAUUUUGUUUCUGUUUGUUUAGUGAUUACAUCAUGUUGCCAUUAUAAAAGAGUCCCAUUACCUGAGUCUGGAACUUUUAAAAACUCCUUUUUCCGUCUCUUCAUCCCCCCAUCCUGGCAAACUGCUCUUUCAUUUCCUGCCAGGUAGAUAAUCUAAUAAAUGCUUUCACAUCAAAGGUUAAUGCCUGAUUAUGGAUUAAAUAUGAAAGCUGAGCCACAAUGAAUAGUCUGUAUUUGUUUCUGACAUAGAAUAGUAGUUUCUUCAUAUGGUUCCGCCUAUGACUCCUUAAUUUGCAUUUAAGAACAAAACUGCAUUGGUUUCUCAUGGUAACAUUAGGGGAUUAGAGUCAUGGCAGUCAGUGACAACAAUAGUUUGGGGAAUAGAAAUCCUUUACUGAGAGUUCCCAUCAUGGCUCAGUGGAAGGGAACCCAACUAGUAUCCUUGAGGACCCGGGUUCGAUCCACGGCCUUGCUCAGUGGGUUAAGGAUCCAGCCUUGGUUGCCAUGAGCUGUGGUGUGAGUCACAGACGUGGCUGUGGCAUAAGCCAGGAGCUACAGCACCGAUUCAACCCCUAUCCUGGGAACUUCCAUAGACUGAGAGUUCAGCCCUAAAAAGACACACACACACAC